GCAGGUGUAGUUUAAUGGUAAAACAUCUGCUUGCCAUGCAGAUGAUGGGGGUUCGAUUCCCCUCGCUUGCUCCA
Molecule: transfer RNA, 74 nt
Filed under: Candidatus Izemoplasmatales bacterium
Lineage: Bacteria; Bacillati; Mycoplasmatota; Mollicutes; Candidatus Izemoplasmatales
Description: tRNA-Gly
Rfam family: tRNA
About the family: Transfer RNA (tRNA) molecules are approximately 80 nucleotides in length. Their secondary structure includes four short double-helical elements and three loops (D, anti-codon, and T loops).
Source: RNAcentral